GACUGACUGGCUCGAUACUGACACUGAGGUGCGAAAGCGUGGGGAGCAAACGGGAUUAGAUACCCCGGUAGUCCACGCCGUAAACGAUGUCUACUAGCCGUUGGAGGACUUGAUCCUUUAGUGGCGCAGCUAACGCGAUAAGUAGACCGCCUGGGGAGUACGGUCGCAAGAUUAAAACUCAAAUGAAUUGACGGGGGCCCGCACAAGCGGUGGAGCAUGUGGUUUAAUUCGAAGCAACGCGAAGAACCUUACCUACUCUUGACAUCCAGUGAACUUUUGAGAGAUCAAUUGGUGCCUUCGGGAACACUGAGACAGGUGCUGCAUGGCUGUCGUCAGCUCGUGUUGUGAAAUGUUGGGUUAAGUCCCGUAACGAGCGCAACCCUUGUCCUUAGUUACCAUCAUUAAGUUGGGGACUCUAAGGAGACUGCCGGUGACAAACCGGAGGAAGGCGGGGACGACGUCAAGUCAUCAUGGCCCUUACGAGUAGGGCUACACACGUGCUACAAUGGCAUGUACAAAGGGUUGCCAAGCCGCGAGGUGGAGCUAAUCCCAUAAAGCAUGUCGUAGUCCGGAUUGGAGUCUGCAACUCGACUCCAUGAAGUCGGAAUCGCUAGUAAUCGUGAAUCAGAAUGUCACGGUGAAUACGUUCCCGGGCCUUGUACACACCGCCCGUCACACCAUGGGAGUGGGUUGCUCCAGAAGUAGAUAGCUUAACCCUCGGGAGGGCGUUUACCACGGAGUGAUUCAUGACUGGGGUGAAGUCGUAACAAGGUAGCCGUA
RNAcentral lists this ribosomal RNA (780 nucleotides) under uncultured bacterium. RNAcentral's name for it is "bacterial SSU rRNA". It matches the Rfam family "Bacterial small subunit ribosomal RNA", at positions 723 to 1504 of the family's 1533-position model. The record is from RNAcentral.